RNAcentral lists this transfer RNA (72 nucleotides) under Sepiella maindroni. Its description in RNAcentral is "tRNA-Pro". RNAcentral also lists the same sequence under 2 other names. Lineage: Eukaryota; Metazoa; Mollusca; Cephalopoda; Sepiida; Sepiidae. The record is from RNAcentral.
CAAAAAGUAGUUUAAAUUUAAUUAAAAUGUUAACAUUGGAAGUUAGUGAUUAAGAGUGAUCUUAUUUUUUGA